RNAcentral lists this ribosomal RNA (427 nucleotides) under uncultured bacterium. RNAcentral's name for it is "bacterial SSU rRNA". It matches the Rfam family "Bacterial small subunit ribosomal RNA", at positions 355 to 774 of the family's 1533-position model. The record is from RNAcentral.
UAGGGAAUAUUGGACAAUGGGGGCAACCCUGAUCCAGCCAUGCCGCGUGAGUGAAGAAGGCCCUCGGGUUGUAAGGCUCUUUUGUCCGGAAAGAAAAGCAUUCGGUGAAUACCCGGAUGUUCUGACGGUACCGGAAGAAUAAGCACCGGCUAACUUCGUGCCAGCAGCCGCGGUAAUACGAAGGGUGCAAGCGUUACUCGGAAUUACUGGGCGUAAAGCGUGCGUAGGUGGUUGUUUAAGUCUGAUGUGAAAGCCCUGGGCUCAACCUGGGAAUGGCAUUGGAAACUGGGCAGCUAGAGUGCGGUAGAGGGUGGUGGAAUUCCCGGUGUAGCAGUGAAAUGCGUAGAGAUCGGGAGGAACAUCUGUGGCGAAGGCGACUGCCUGGACCAGCACUGACACUGAGGCACGAAAGCGUGGGGAGCAAACA